AUGCACGCUGGCGGCGUGCUUAACACCUGCAAGUCGAACGGAAAGGCCCAAGCUUGCUUGGGUACUCGAGUGGCGAACGGGUGAGUAACACGUGGGUGAUCUGCCCUGCACUUCGGGAUAAGCCUGGGAAACUGGGUCUAAUACCGGAUAGGACCACAUUUUGGAUGGUGUGGUGGAAAGUUUUUCGGUGUGGGAUGAGCUCGCGGCCUAUCAGCUUGUUGGUGGGGUAAUGGCCUACCAAGGCGUCGACGGGUAGCCGGCCUGAGAGGGUGUACGGCCACAUUGGGACUGAGAUACGGCCCAGACUCCUACGGGAGGCAGCAGUGGGGAAUAUUGCACAAUGGGCGCAAGCCUGAUGCAGCGACGCCGCGUGGGGGAUGACGGCCUUCGGGUUGUAAACUCCUUUCGCUAGGGACGAAGCGUUAUGUGACGGUACCUGGAGAAGAAGCACCGGCUAACUACGUG
This 465-nucleotide ribosomal RNA is filed under the name uncultured bacterium. RNAcentral's name for it is "partial 16S ribosomal RNA". It matches the Rfam family "Bacterial small subunit ribosomal RNA", at positions 29 to 507 of the family's 1533-position model. The record is from RNAcentral.